AUUUGAGACCUUUUGUGAAAUUUUGAGAUCUUUCUCAAGCUCCCUUCUUUGGUCUUGUUUCUUUUUCCUUGUUGUUGUCCUUUUUCUUGCCAUUAUAUUCGAGUCCCAAAUCAGCAAUAUAAAUUGAUUAAUCUAUAUGUCUCAGAAAAGUAGAUAUAAGACGACAUUGACAUGUUCAGUAUUUGAUUGAAUCUUGCUCAAGAAUGCUCUGAAGGAGAUCCUACUGGUCCCUCUCAGAUCUUUUAUUCCCUUUUAGCAACGAAGACAACAUGAUGAUUUUCUUGUCAGUGAGAAGCCAUUCUUUUUCAGAUCUCCAAAUGCCUUGAUCAAUCAAGCUGAUUCUCAACUUGGAGUGCUAGUGCAUAAUCAUCCUUGUCCAACUCAAGCAAUCUCCAGGCAAAAUCGAUACCAAACUUGCAUCGUGGUCUAAUUGCAUGCCAGAGAUGAUCUCUCUUCUUUUCCUUUUGCCGCUUUAUCUUUCCCUUUCUUUUUUACCGUCACUGCCUGCUGCAAAUUUCAGACAUUCCUGGCCAUGUUUGUGGCUCAAAGAUCCCAAAAGCCAGCUUGGACUCGUCAAUGGCCACCUCCACAUCUCAGAUGCCCUCCACGCCCCCUCUCUCUUUUCCUCAGAGCAAACGUUGAUCCUUGAGCUCGGCACAAUCCCCUCCUCCUCGAUCCUUUCGUUGCCUUGUUCCUAGGUAUGCUUUCCUUUAGAAAAGCAACAAACAAAGAUGCUCUCAUUCCCUUGCUGAACUCCUGGAAUCAAUGGGAACAACUUUGCCUGCACACUAUAUAACCAACACUAAUCUCAUAAUAGUUUUACUGGUUCCCUUUGUUUUCAUGCGAUUAUUCGCUUCUCGCACACACAGAAUCAUCCUCUGCUUAUUGCAACCUAGGAGUUUGUAUGGAGACUAUAGAGCUAAAGGUGGACAUGGUUGCAUUACAUGAGAAGAGAUUGAGGAAAUGUUUGUCCAAAGUGAAAGGCUCCUUGACAACAAGAUGCCAAAUAAUGUGGUUACUAUGUGAUGCGAUUUAUGAGACAAAUUGUUGAAGAAGUUGAAAUUAUCGAAAAAGAUUCACUACGAUCUAUAUUCACACAAGCAGAGUAUUCUCGAGAAGAAAUUGAUGAGGUGCGAUCGGAGUUGGCAGAAUGUAUACAAGAUCAUAUUUAUGAGUAGGUGCGUUCAAGUUUAUUUGUAGCCAUAUGAUACUCCACUUGCUCAAUUGGAUUAUGACUAGGCAUGGAUGACAAAUAAUCGAGUCUACUUAGCCCAAGUCCAAACUUGAAUCAUGCCAAUUCAUACAGACCGAAAAGUGAAGUGUGCCUGAUCAAAAGAAAACAUAAUUUCUUAAUCUGGUAAAUGGUUUAGUGCAUUACUCUUUGCAACUGAAGCAGAUUCUUUAUGUUUCCAGUGCCUUAAGGCUGGUUGUUACAUCAUUUUCAAUAAAUCUCCUCCUUUAGCAUUUCAUUGUGCAGCACCAGCAACUUCAUAGUUAACUUUUAAAAUGCGUUACAGUGUUGCAAUGCUCUGAAGAAUAUUAAUGUCCAAACCAGAACAUUAGCAAUCGGGUAAGCACUUGAUUGUUCAUUUUAUGAUACUUUUAUCUUCAAGUGGGUCAUGAUUCACUUUACAACUUCUAUCUUUGAGGAAUAUGUACAGUUUGAGCUGCAAAGCGUGAACGCACCACCAGACCACAAGGCCCCACUGUCUGCCAGAUUUGGCUCAGCUUUAAGCUUCGGCACGCGUUUGAUUCUACCUUUCUCCUUCACGCUUGUUCUGCUUUGGUACAGUGGAGUUGGUGUGCCACACUGAUAUAUUCUAUUCUAUGGUUGUGAAUGAUGAGUGAUGAAUAUCAAAUAUAUGCAACUCUGUACGUCCAAAGCAUUUGAAGGCCCUAGCACCAGUGCACAUUAAUACUAAGUUUAUCAAGCUGGAUGCUGAAAAUGCACCAUUUUUCGUGACGAAAUUGGCAAUCAAAACACUGCCCUGUGUUAUUUUAUUCAGGAAUGGCAUUGCCUUUGAUAGGAUAGUCGACUUUCAAGAUCUUGGAAGCAAAGAUGAUUUUACUGCCAGAGCUUUAGAAAAUCUUCUUAAAAGAAAAG
Zingiber officinale is the source of this 2104-nucleotide RNA transcript. It is a transcript of the gene named thioredoxin domain-containing protein PLP3A-like, with no coding region annotated. NCBI's taxonomy places the organism in Eukaryota, Viridiplantae, Streptophyta, Magnoliopsida, Zingiberales, Zingiberaceae. The record is from RefSeq and is a predicted model, not a curated record. The transcript is spliced from 7 exons.